This 381-nucleotide long non-coding RNA is filed under the name Hordeum vulgare. Its description in RNAcentral is "long non-coding RNA (HVUL_LNC019319)". Lineage: Eukaryota; Viridiplantae; Streptophyta; Magnoliopsida; Poales; Poaceae. The record is from RNAcentral.
UUUGCGAGUACAUUCAAAGUACUCACUGUCUUGUCCCUAGUUAUUGUCUUGGACAGGUUGCGUGCUUGGAGAGGAGGAACCCGACGAUAACACUAGAACCUAGGCAACAAAGAUAGCAGCUGCGUGAGAUAGGAAUUAUCCAUGUGAGUUGUUCAUGUGGGAAAUGGAGUCCCAUAGACGGUGGAGAUUCCCGAACUGCUUCCGCCAUCAACCAUUAGAAACCUUUUGAUGUACUCUAUGGACCACCACGGUCUUUUACUUCAAAUUUGUAUUUUUGGUUGGACAAUUGUAUCAAGGAUUUGUGCACCAGCUAAAAGUAUUCUUGGGGCUGGUAUGCACAAGGGCCAUUUUGAAGGAAAGUUAAAAUCCCCGAAAAUCCGG